Molecule: non-coding RNA, 126 nt
Organism: Punica granatum (pomegranate)
Lineage: Eukaryota; Viridiplantae; Streptophyta; Magnoliopsida; Myrtales; Lythraceae
Source: Rfam
AAUAAGAGUGUAUCUAGUUAGCCAAAGGAGACUACCUGAAGCCACAACAGGUUUCGGAACAAUGUCUCGAACAUGAAGUUCAAUGGAGCAGGCAAGUCAUCCUUGGCUACUAAAUUACACUCUAAA